RNAcentral lists this ribosomal RNA (434 nucleotides) under uncultured bacterium. RNAcentral describes it as "partial 16S ribosomal RNA". It matches the Rfam family "Bacterial small subunit ribosomal RNA", at positions 29 to 507 of the family's 1533-position model. The record is from RNAcentral.
AGCGAACGCUGGCGGCAGGCCUAACACAUGCAAGUCGAACGAACCUUUCGGGGUUAUUGGCGGACGGGUGAGUAACACGUGGGAACGUGCCUUUAGGGUCGGAAUAACUCAAGGAAACGUGUGCUAAUACCGAAUGUGCUCUACGGCGGAAAGAUUUAUCGCCUUUAGAGCGGCCCGCGUCUGAUUAGCUAGUUGGUUGAGGUAAUGGCACACCAAGGCCACGAUCAGUAGCUGGUCUGUGAGGAUAAUCAGCCACAUUAGGUGUAGGACGCGGACAAAAAUCCUACGCAAGGGGAAAGUGGGUAAUCUUGCGAAGUGGACGGAAGCCUGACGCAGCCAUGCCACAUGAAUGAUGAAGGUCUUAAGAAAGUAAAAUUAUUGCACCGGGGACGGUAAUGACGGUACCCGAGGAAGAAGCCCCGGCUAACUACGUG